AGAGUUUGAUCCUGGCUCAGAAUCAACGCUGGCGGCGUGCCUAACACAUGCAAGUCGAGCGAGAAAAGGGGAGCAAUCCUCUGAGUAAAGCGGCGCACGGGUGAGUAACACGUGGGUAAUCUGCCCUGAAGUGGGGAAUAACACCGGGAAACCGGUGCUAAUACCGCAUAUGAUCACGGUGUCUGCGGACACAGGGAUGAAAGGAGCAAUUCGCUUCAGGAGGAGCCCGCGGCUGAUUAGCUAGUUGGUGAGGUAAUGGCUCACCAAGGCUACGAUCAGUAUCCGGUCUGAGAGGACGGUCGGACACACUGGAACUGAGACACGGUCCAGACUCCUACGGGAGGCAGCAGUGGGGAAUUUUUCGCAAUGGGGGCAACCCUGACGAAGCAACGCCGCGUGGAUGAUGAAGUAUCUCGGUACGUAAAAUCCUUCCGACAGGGAAGAAACCGCAAGGUGACGUACCUUAGAAGAGCCCCGU
This 478-nucleotide ribosomal RNA is filed under the name uncultured soil bacterium. Its description in RNAcentral is "bacterial SSU rRNA". It matches the Rfam family "Bacterial small subunit ribosomal RNA", at positions 8 to 496 of the family's 1533-position model. The record is from RNAcentral.